This is a long non-coding RNA of Zea mays, 163 nucleotides long. RefSeq lists it as uncharacterized. The transcript is spliced from 2 exons. NCBI's taxonomy places the organism in Eukaryota, Viridiplantae, Streptophyta, Magnoliopsida, Poales, Poaceae. The record is from RefSeq and is a predicted model, not a curated record.
GGUAUCUUCCUCCAGAAUGCUUUGACCUCAGCAAAACACCAUUUAUUUCAUCUAAGGUGGAUGUUUGGUCAGCUGGUGUAAUUUUUUACCAAAUGCUUUAUGGAAGGCGUCCUUUUGGUCAUGAUCAGACUCAGGAGAGAAUACUUCGGGAAGAUACAAUUAU